UUAUAGCAAUAAACUACACGGCAGAAGCUGCACCACGGCUUUUUGCAAGUAUAGCUGAUGGUUUUUGACACCAGCCUUAAAAUGUGUUUUCUUUCUUUCAUUUGCUGAAACAUUUAAAAUCCUGAAGUACUAGAGCAAAGGAAACAGCAACUUAUUUUCUAGCAAAGCCACACCAUUAACAAGAAUGCCGAGUGAACCGCAGUCCUGAGACUGUGGGAGUAUCUGAGUCCUGAAAUCGAGUGCACGCGCAUUUCUUGUGUCCAUACCUGAUUGCAUGUAAGUUGUUCUCUGUUUUACAAGAACACAUGACCGCUCAAUGAAUGGGAAUAGAAAAAAGGCCAUGAAAGGUGGAAGGGUCAGGAAUCGGAGGACACUGCAGUUUCUUAUUCGCUGAUUCACUGCUUAGAGGGAGAUCUGUGUCUUCUUUGAGGUGUAGAAACCACAGUCUACAGGCUUCAUAGAUUUCUGUCCACAGUUUUUGAGAUAGUGAAGUCAUGACGUCCAUACUCAAAGCCCAUAAAAAGGGAAUUAAUGAAACGGUUAGACUAUUUUAAUCAAAUCCCUAACAGGUUACCGUUGAACCCCCUGUGUGAAAGUUUGAUUUCAAAUGUUAAAAGUGGCUACAGAAAAUCUCAGGUUUCAUUAGAAGAGCAGUUUCAGUCAGAAAAUGCAGCAUAUAUUGAUACAAAAUAGAAACUGGAAUUAUAAAUGUAAAGAGUCCACCUUCCUUUUCUUGGCAUUUUUAAAACUUUUCCCAUUUCAUUAAAAUUUCUUUUGGUUUCCAGAAAUGCUUAUUCUUGCCAUUUAGCUCUUCUAGUGGUCUGGCCAGUAUACAAAGGGAUUAUCUGCUUAUGUAAGAAAGCAAAUGCUUAUGUUGAAGGAACAAAAGAACAUUAAUAUAUUUUAUGUUUCUUUGUAAUUAAUGGAGUUCUGCUUGCUGAAAAAUAAAGAGGGAGAAAGGAAUCAUUUAAUUUACGAGAACUAUGUAAUACCAAUCAGGAUAGGACUUCGCUAACUCCUGUUUGGUAGGAGGGUAAAUAGACAAUUCAGCAAAUUGGUGGGGGUUUAAAAACACAAGGGAUAGAACAUUUAACAUAUUCUAACUUACUGGGUGAGUUGAGCGCAAGAUUCGGAGAGGCAACAUAAGGUACAAAUGUUUGUGUCUAAGUAGCACCUGCUUUUGCAAGCCCCAGCUACUUAGGACGUGAAUUAGGGAGCUGUGAAUGAAAACAGCAGGAGACUGGUUUGGAAAGUUGUACUAAUUUUUGGAUUCGAUCAAGUUUUAGGUGAAGUGGUGCCAAAGGAGUGUUCCACUGCUGGCAGGAUAGACAUUUCCCCCACUCUUUAGCCUAAUGAGUCCUGCUUUCCCAAACCUCCUGAAUCACCAUAAAAAGAUGUUUGCCUCAGGUUGAGUCUCCUUGGGUAAAAGUCACAGGAAUGAAAUAAUUAUUCAGAGAUGGACAGCCAAGAGAAUUUUUCAAGCAAGCCACCCUAACCCAGAAGCGUUUCUCUCAAAAAGUUUUAUUUGUAUUUACACAAUGUUAAAGUUUCCAAUAUACAUUUCCAUUAGCCUUUUAGAUGACACAACAACAUCAUUUCACAUUAGCCAUUAGGUUCCCGUCACAAUGGCACAAAAAUGCUGCCUGGUGGUCAAAAAUAAAAAGCUUAUUUAAAGAUGUCAAAAAAUUUUUUAGUCCUUGUAAACAUAUCAUUUAGAAUUUCUGAAAACCUCAUGCAAUCUUGACUUUGGAAUAAUGCCACAUGGUAGUUUUUACCAAGAGGGUUAUUGGCCCUCUCUGAAAUAAGGAGUUGAACAACACAGUCAAUAAACAUAUGCAUAUCUAAAUCACGAGCAUUUCCUACUUAGUAGUGGAUGUUCUGAAUAUGAAAUAUCACUGUAUUUAUAAUCCUGCUUUCCAUGACACUGCAGUGAGUUAGAAUAAUCAAGGGGCUUCCCUAAAAAUGUCUCAGGAGCAUUGUCGCAAAAUAUAAAAUAUUUCAAGCUUUAUCCAGUGAGUAUCUUAAAAAGAUGUAGGAAACAGAUUAACAUGAGUUGAUUAGCUUAAAAAAAGAAAAAGAUACACUGCAAUUCAAUGUAUUUGGGGGAAUAUCAAGUAGAAAAAUACGUUAUCUAGUAAAACUGGGGUGGCUGGUUGCCACUCUGAGGUAAGGCUUGCAAAUGAUGUAUUUCUGUUACGCAAAUUGGUAAAUAAUAUACAUAACAGGAGAACAGGAAAGUUAACAAUUGAGGGGUGCAGAAAAGGUAUUUCUCUGUACAUCUAUUUUAUGCGGUCUUGAGGAACAGUGAAGAAUUGCCCGUCCCUCUUAGAUAGUGCUAAACCUUCUAUUUAUUUCUUGGCAGAAAUGAAAUUUGGCGUGCUAUAGACCAUCUUAGAAGUGUUUUCUCAGAAUCCACAUUGGAGCGUUCCAAUUCUGCAGUGCAAUCCCAGCCUGGACAGUAAACACCCCGCAGAACCUAGAGUCACAAGGCUUUAAUAAGGCAAAUGGAGGUGAAUGGGGGAAAAGAGUGGAACUUGGAACGGAGAAUUUCCUGUUUCCAUAAAGUUAAAGCAGUAGUAACCAAUCAGCAUGGAAAGUUCAUUUCUGCCACAACUGGUGGAUUCUCAGAGUGGUAUUAAGAUUCAGUCUGUUUGGUCACAAGCAUUGGGGAAGAAAUCUCCAUGAUCACUUUGCCCGGACCCAAACCUGGGCUCAGCUGUAAGUUUGACUUUAUUUUCUGUCCGUUUAGGGGGUGGACACCUACGUCUCAAUGGAACUUAAAUAACUUGGCUGAGGGUGUGGGCGGCUCCUGUUUCCCAAGGUGUUACCUGGAAUCCUGAAGUACUGCCCAUGAUGAAAUCCUAUUUUUCAGUUGCUACAUUUACCAGUGUAGGCCACUUACAGGCUCUCUGCCAUGACAAGAACAAUAGGGCAGUACGGAAGAGUUAGAGAAUGGGGCACUGACCCUUAAGGGCCUCACACCUUAUUUAGGGAAGGGGAGCAUCUUAUUUGUAAAACUACCAGGAGACACACGAAUUCGACUUUUUAUUAAUAGUCAAUAGUCAAUAUUACUAUUGACUUAGUGGCCACGAGAAUUGCGGGGGUGCUAGCAAGAGAGUGACUGGAAUGAGGGAAGGUCACUCAUGGAUGGCUUUUUGGAUGAUAUUGGCUUGAUUCUUAAUCCAUCAUGGGGGAGGGGCUAGGAGAGAGGAAGGUCUGGGCAAUGGAAAUAAAUGUCAAAUGUCGAACAUAGCAAGGAGAACAUUUUGGGAGGAGUGACUGUCGUUUCAGUAGAAGGGUGGGAAAGACUGGAUUAGGAUUAGUUUGCUUGAGGGGCAGGGGAAUAAUGAGAGAGAAAACGAGCAGGAGUGAUGGAGAGACUGAGGUCGGAUUUAAGUGGUUCCAGGGAGCCAACGCAUAUCUUUCCUCCAUGGGGUUAGAAUCAAUUUACUAAGAUUUCCCGCACCUCUCAGGAAUGGCGGUUAUGAGACCCAUAAUUAGUGUGAUGGAUAACUGUGAUCCAGAUGGGCAAAUCUGAGGGUGAAUUGUGGUUCUAUUGGUAAUUACAUAUUGGCUCUCUCAGGGAAACUGGGGCAUGUGGUCCCCUAACAGUAAUGUUAUCCCAAAAGAACUGGGCCACACCUCAGGUUAUGCAGCUGUCAUGAGAACUAUUCCUUCUCUUCAAGAGGAUAGUGAAAGGCUUCUGUCUGUUGGGGGAGGGGGGCUGGGGAGAGGAGCAGGAUAAAAAAGGACUGAAAGUGUUUCCUGGGCCUGUAUCUAGACGUUUGGAAUGGAAAUUGCUCUUUCUUCCUACUCUCUUCCUAUCUUUGAACCACCCGAGACCUGGAUGGUCAAGGUAAAAUGGAUUAGAGACAGGCAGUGUGAUAGAGCAGACAGAGCUUUGCCAUUGCAUCCAGAAACAAAAAGGAAACAAAACACCAAAAAAACCAAACUCAGAUCGAAUACUAACUCUAUUACUAACUGGUGAUCAGAUCUUGGGGAAAUC
Molecule: long non-coding RNA, 4006 nt
Filed under: Canis lupus familiaris (dog)
Lineage: Eukaryota; Metazoa; Chordata; Mammalia; Carnivora; Canidae
Description: lncRNA (ENSCAFG00805010861.1, ENSCAFG00845008625.1)
Source: RNAcentral